UUAAUGGGUCACUAGGGUUCCGAUCCGGCGAUGCCGGGUGACUGGUCCGAGAGUGGCCGACCUUCCUGAAGGUUACACGGCGGGACAAAAGCCCGGGAGAG
RNAcentral lists this small RNA (101 nucleotides) under Aeromonas sp. RNAcentral's name for it is "Guanidine-I sequence". It matches the Rfam family "Guanidine-I riboswitch aptamer". From Rfam's summary of the family: This family represents a conserved RNA structure found upstream of the ykkC and yxkD genes in Bacillus subtilis and related genes in other bacteria. Lineage: Bacteria; Pseudomonadati; Pseudomonadota; Gammaproteobacteria; Aeromonadales; Aeromonadaceae. The record is from RNAcentral.